RNAcentral lists this ribosomal RNA (468 nucleotides) under uncultured bacterium. RNAcentral describes it as "partial 16S ribosomal RNA". It matches the Rfam family "Bacterial small subunit ribosomal RNA", at positions 28 to 507 of the family's 1533-position model. The record is from RNAcentral.
GACGAACGCUGGCGGCGUGCUUAACACAUGCAAGUCGAACGGAAAGGCCCUGCUUUUGUGUGGUGCUCGAGUGGCGAACGGGUGAGUAACACUUGAGUAACCUGCCUUUGACUUUGGGAUAACUUCAGGAAACUGUGGCUCAUACCGCAUAGGAGCUCCUGCUGCAUGGUGGGGGUUCGAAAGUUUCGGCGGUUGGUUAUGGACUCGCGGCGUACCAGCUUGUUGGUGGGGUAGGGGCUUACCAUGGCUAUGACGGGUAGCCGGCCUGAGAGGGGAAGCGGACACGCGGCAACUGGAAUGCGGCCCAGACUAGAACGGGAGGCGACAGAGAAGAAGAGUACAGGAGACACGGGAGGAAGACCUGAUAACGCGACGGGGGGGAAGGGAAGAAGGGGGUGGGAUAGUAAUUUCGUUUUAGACGGGAAGAGAAUGACGGUAAUGGGGAAAGAAGCACCGGCUAACUACGUG